Perognathus longimembris pacificus (Pacific pocket mouse) is the source of this 787-nucleotide long non-coding RNA. RefSeq lists it as uncharacterized. The transcript is spliced from 3 exons. The record is from RefSeq and is a predicted model, not a curated record. Lineage: Eukaryota; Metazoa; Chordata; Mammalia; Rodentia; Heteromyidae.
UUGGGCAGGCCUCACGUUAUUCGGGAGUCUCAGCUACCGUUGUGCCGCCAUCUUAAGUCCUGGCUAUAGCUUCACAGGGACGUGAAGCUGCUUGGGAUCCUCUUGCGUUUGGGCGAGAGAGGCCUUGCCCGGGCGCGCAAGGUAUCCUGGGAAAGGGGAAGUAAUCCGGAAAUACAAACCUUAGAAGCUCCAGGAGAUUGGUGCUGCCACCCGGCAUCUUUUUAAAAAGCCCUAGUUUCCACUGGCGGUGACGACUACACCGGAUCCUGUAGUUUCUGUGGAAACCUCUAAGACAUGACAUCUAAGAAAUUUGUUAUUAAAAACCCAUUUCUUGUUCUGCUAGAAUGUCCCCUCCUCAACCUACUUGCACAAAAAGUCAUAGGCCCAUCUAGAGAACUAAAAGAGAAGUAGAAUUAGCCAUGGUGGUGGGUCUACACUUUUUUCUUUGUACUCUGUAUAGAAAUGAUUAACAUGAAGACAGUUUUACCAUAUCGGUCAAAUUAAAGGCAAUGAUUUUAUUCUCAUGUUUAAUGAAGCUUAGCUGGUUUCCAAGGAUUGCUGUACUAGUUUCCCUGAAGUGUUUUACAAGCAGUAUUUAAUCCAGUCUCUGAUUUAAAUUUCCUUUUUUUCCAGUUCUGCUUUACCCUACGUCUUUCAUAAGUAAAAACACAAAGAAUGCCAUAAAAAUGUCCUGAAUGUUGAUACCUAAUUCCUAAGUAGGUGGUGAUAUAAGAUUAUGAAUGGCAAACCUUGAAAAAAUACCACCACCAUGUAAAGCCUUAAUAGG